RNAcentral lists this long non-coding RNA (227 nucleotides) under Mytilus galloprovincialis (Mediterranean mussel). The record is from RNAcentral. Lineage: Eukaryota; Metazoa; Mollusca; Bivalvia; Mytilida; Mytilidae.
GUAAAAAGUAAAUUUUACCUACACAUACAACUUGUUUAUUUAGAAUUUCAUAUUGUGUUGUUUUCUAUAUACACAACUGUUUGUUAAUUUAACAUUUUCUGCAUCCUGAAAGCGCGCAAUACUUGUAAUUAAUACAAUUUAAAAUGUUAUGUAAAAUUGAGAAUGGAAAUGGGGAAUGUGUCAAAGAGACAACAACCCGACCAUAUAACAGACAACAGCAUAAGGAC